CUAUGACAAAUUUUUGUCAUGGCGGAAGGAG
This 31-nucleotide non-coding RNA is filed under the name unclassified sequences. RNAcentral describes it as "L31-Firmicutes ribosomal protein leader". It matches the Rfam family "L31-Firmicutes ribosomal protein leader". The record is from RNAcentral.